Molecule: non-coding RNA, 1117 nt
Organism: Vicugna pacos (alpaca)
Lineage: Eukaryota; Metazoa; Chordata; Mammalia; Artiodactyla; Camelidae
Source: RefSeq, a predicted model, not a curated record
AGUGAGGAAGUCAGCCCUGCCCCUGUGAGCUUGUGGAAGGCUCACACCAAAGGCCAUCCUCCUGAUUCAGUAAGGAGGCUGUAGUCAAGUUCAGAUACCACCUCCCUCCAGCCGGCUGGCCUUUGAGGAUGCUCAGACCUGUCCCUGGUGUCCACACCUUAGGAUCACUCAUCAUCAGUGUUCUAGUAAGAGGGGCACCACACCAAGGAAUAGGAAACACGGUAGGGGGACCACAGAAGGACCUUUCCUCUGGGUGUCUCAUAAAAUGUGAUGAGGGAGACUCCAUGUGUCGGAACCAGGGAACUUUUGCACUUCUCCCCCUUCCUUCCCUCUUGCUGCUAUUUCGGGUGAGGUUCCAUAUUUCCCCUCCCACUCUGAACAUCCCCUGCUCUAGGGCACUAAUUUGGGUUAUGCAAGGUAAGGUCCUCAGUGAGGAGAUUAACAAAAUUAACCCGGGAGGUCAAACAGUCCCAGGCCCUAAGGGGAAGCAGCAAGGAGGGAUCCGGGGCGGAGCUCCCAGCCGGUGGCACCACACACCCGGACCAAUCGUGGUCCGUGCCGCGGCCGACCCGGCCCCAAGUCACACUGCAGGAAGACCUGGGGUUGGUGCUCCGUCUACGCAUGCGCCAAUCCACACCUUCGCCUUCAGCCACCGCCUGAGCUCCCCAGUAGUCACUCUGGAGACGAGUGUAGGCUCCGGCAUCGACUCCCAGGCCUGAUGAGUGGGAGGGAAGGGUGGGUCCCCACCCUGUUAGGUUCCUCCGUGACAUAAUGGGAACUCAAGCCUUGCUCUAGGGCCUGUCGACGCCAGGAGACCUCAGACUCGGGGUCGCAGACGGAGCGCAGGGACGGACGGCGCGGCCCUUUGUGUGUGCACGUUGCCAGCCUCCAUCCCUACUCCCCAGACUGCACUUUUCACAGCCUCUCUCCUGCCCUUGCAUCCCGCCUACGCAGCACAUUCAGUCACCCGGCAACAGCGCUCACCGUGGCAUCCUGCCCCGCGUAGUGGCUGAGGACCCGGGAACCUCCCGGGUGCCGUCUGGUGAACUCGCUGAUGUUGUAUACCUUCCGGUCAAUCACGAGCCAUCGCUCUUUGUCGCGUCCCGAGCGCUGCGCC